AUUGAAGAAAUAAAGUAAUCUGUUCCGAACUACAGAAAAGGGAGUUACAGAACAAAAUCCAAAUCAACUAUUCCUUCAAAUAGAAAAUCAAAUUUCUUUAUAGAAACAAACUGUCAAAUAUCCUGAGCUGAUUCCAGGUGGCAUAUCAUUUUACGAUCCAAAUAAGAAAUAGGAGUUUCAACAAUGCCGAAUCCGAUUCAAAAAUUGUUCCAAUUGAUCUAUAAGAUCUUUCGUUAUCUGUGGCUAGCAUCCGUACUGAUGAUACCGUAUAUGGCCCUGAAAUUGAAGACGUGCGAGGCCAGCAAACUGGACAACUACGUAAUGCUUGGAUGCCUAGCACUGGGCGUCAUCCAGUUGAUAGAGACCCAACGCUUCCGACGACAUUAGGAUGUGGGAGCUGGAGGCCGGCCAGGUUGUUGG
RNAcentral lists this small RNA (420 nucleotides) under Drosophila pseudoobscura pseudoobscura. RNAcentral describes it as "GA32935". Lineage: Eukaryota; Metazoa; Arthropoda; Insecta; Diptera; Drosophilidae. The record is from RNAcentral.